This 394-nucleotide long non-coding RNA is filed under the name Mus musculus (house mouse). Its description in RNAcentral is "long non-coding RNA chr4:76793728-76794122". Lineage: Eukaryota; Metazoa; Chordata; Mammalia; Rodentia; Muridae. The record is from RNAcentral.
UUCCUUUCGGCCACCGUCCUGAGCAAAACCCGGAAACUUCGGGGCCACGUGACCAGUGGCCAUGGCCGCUUCAGUAAGCAUCACAAGCACCCUGGAGCCACGAGAAUUCCGGAGCCAAGCAUCACUACAAGAUCUACCCCAACAAAUAUCAACCCAGGGUAUUUUGGGAAAGUUGGUAUGAGGCAUUACCACUUGAGGAGAACCAGAGCUUCUGCCCAACUGUCAACCAGAUAAAUUAUGGACAUUGGUCAGCGAGCAGACACGUAUCAAAGCUGCAAAAGACAAGACUGGAGCUGCUCCCGUCAUUGAUGUUGUGACAUCGGGCUACUACAAAGCUUUGUGCAAGGAAAAACUCCCUAAACAACCUGUCAUCAUGAAGGCCAAAUUCUUCAGC